CUGAAAUGUAGAUGUUGGUUGAGCGGGACCCCAUUUGAAGCCCCAAGGAGUGGGUGAACUUCCCGUGUAUCUUCAGCAGUCCCUUGGCUUAUGGUUCUGGCUCCUGCCCCUGCCUUUCUUUCUCCUGGAUCUUUAUUACUUGCAAUCGUGCUGGGAGAACAAGUUGUUCCACUGAAACCUAUUUAUGACAGCCUGCUGUUGGGAGACUUAAUAUGGAAGAAUUGAGAGAAGCUGAGUUUCUCCGUGAAAUCCAACCUCUGUGAAAAUCCAGCACUCUUUGCAUGCAUAGUCGCCGAUCUGCCACGGCUGCCCACAAGCAUCCCAGGGUGAAAAAUCUCUCAGUCUAUUAACAGAGACAGAAAGGAACCUGUUCAAAAGCACUGUGCAUGACUGCUUGGAGAGGAAAGAGCUCAUUUAUCACGUUGCCCCAGGAGGUCACAGUGAUUGUCACAGCAUACCCAGACUGGCUCAACCUCAAGCAAGACAACAUCCCAGCGUGGGAAGGGGAGGUAGGUUGGCAUGAGACCACCACCAGCGGAGGAGCCAUUAGCAAUUGGUAGCUACUAUGAGAGGAAGGACCAGUUUCCUUCAAUGAUGUGAUUCUUGGUCCAGGCAAGAAGGUAGGGAUGAGGAUGCUCAACAAAGAGAGUAUUCGGCUAAAGACACAUUGACAGCCAAGACUUUUUUUUCUAGCUUCCUCUGGAGAAGGCUCAAAACCAAGUGCCCAAAAUUUUUGGGAAGAAACCCAGGUGCCAGCUCAAGAUGAUGGGGAAGAAGCAGGAUUCUGCUGGAGUUGACACUGCUGUACUACACAGACCUCAUCUGAUGUCCUGCCUGAUGGCUUCAGUGCAGGCAAACUACUUGUUCAGCCAUGAAGUUUGCCUGGCCCAUCUUUCACUAUUUCCGGCACAUAGGUUUGGAGGUUCCUUUUAAAAACUGGACUGUGUGUGUUUUACCGAUGCUUUCCAUGUCUACUUCUAAAGCUCAUGUUAUCUCCCUCUAGUUGGUUAUGGCCUGUGCAUCAGUCAUUACACUCCUUCUAGAUCUGCCAUAGAACAAACAAAUUUGGGGGAAAUGUAACUGGAAAUCAACACUUGGUGAUUGAGGGAAGCUUUGAAGUAUUUCAAACUCACCCAAAUGAUGACCCGAGCAUUGAGAGCACUUGUGUUCAACCUUUAUUAAAUCUUUCAACUCUGUAUUAUUUACCUGCUGGUAACCUCAGAGCUUGAACAAAUAUACAGGACAUCUAUUGAUACUAAAAACAUUCCAGAAUCAAGCAGCAGGAGGCUGUCAGGCAAUGUUCUUCUUUCUGCCUCAUCAUCUGAAGGCAACUGUUCUUUUUGAGGUUUAGGAAAGUCUGAACCAAGUGAGCAGGUUACAGAGAAUGCCGGGAAGAUGGAGAGAGGACCUCUGUGGGCAUCAGGAGGGAUGUGGCAAAGGAAUUUCCCUUUAAGAGCAGAGGUUGGGAAUUUCCACAUGAGUUCACAGAUUUCUAGACUGAUUAGUAUCUUUAAAUUAGUCUCUAGAGAGGUUGCAACCCAGAAGUGUGUGAGCAUCCCUGUCUCACAACCUCACCUUCAUGUACUCCGUGCUCUCAAGCCUUCUGGUCUGUUUUCUAUCAAGCACUAAUUUCAGGUAUUACCAAAAAGUCUGAUCUCCAAUAAAACCUAUGACCUUCUGAAGUGGUGUGUCUAUUUGAACAAUUGUCAACGUCACCCAAACCUGAU
Molecule: long non-coding RNA, 1727 nt
Organism: Rattus norvegicus (Norway rat)
Lineage: Eukaryota; Metazoa; Chordata; Mammalia; Rodentia; Muridae
Source: Ensembl